AGCGGCGGACGGGUGAGUAACGCGUGGGUAACCUGCCUUACACAGGGGGAUAACAGUUAGAAAUGACUGCUAAUACCGCAUAACCCGCUAGGGCCGCAUGGCCCGGACGGAAAAGAUUUUAUCGGGUGUAAGAUGGACCCGCGUCUGAUUAGCUGGUUGGUGAGGUAACGGCUCACCAAGGCGACGAUCAGUAGCCGACCUGAGAGGGUGAUCGGCCACAUUGGGACUGAGACACGGCCCAAACUCCUACGGGAGGCAGCAG
RNAcentral lists this ribosomal RNA (262 nucleotides) under uncultured bacterium. RNAcentral describes it as "partial 16S ribosomal RNA". It matches the Rfam family "Bacterial small subunit ribosomal RNA", at positions 94 to 354 of the family's 1533-position model. The record is from RNAcentral.